CUACGGGAGGCAGCAGUGGGGAAUAUUGGACAAUGGGCGCAAGCCUGAUCCAGCCACGCCGCGUGAGUGAUGAAGGCCUUCGGGUCGUAAAGCUCUGUGGGGAGGGACGAACCGCUGCACGUUCAUAGCGUGCAGCAUGACGGUACCACCUUAGCAAGCACCGGCUAACUUCGUGCCAGCAGCCGCGGUAAU
RNAcentral lists this ribosomal RNA (192 nucleotides) under uncultured bacterium. RNAcentral describes it as "partial 16S ribosomal RNA". It matches the Rfam family "Bacterial small subunit ribosomal RNA", at positions 339 to 524 of the family's 1533-position model. The record is from RNAcentral.